GCUUUUAUAGCUUAUAAGUUAGAGCAUAGCGCUGAAGACGCUAGGGAGAUCGCAACAUCUUAAAGCA
This 67-nucleotide transfer RNA is filed under the name Leptestheria brevirostris. RNAcentral describes it as "tRNA-Phe". Lineage: Eukaryota; Metazoa; Arthropoda; Branchiopoda; Diplostraca; Leptestheriidae. The record is from RNAcentral.